UACAGAGGGGGCAAGCGUUGUCCGGACUUACUGGGCGUAAAGCGUGCGCAGGCGGUGAUGUAAGACAGGUGUGAAAUCCCCGGGCUUAACCUGGGAACUGCAUUUGUGACUGCAUCGCUGGAGUGCGGCAGAGGGGGAUGGAAUUCCGCGUGUAGCAGUGAAAUGCGUAGAUAUGCGGAGGAACACCGAUGGCGAAGGCAAUCCCCUGGGCCUGCACUGACGCUCAUGCACGAAAGCGUGGGGAGCAAACAGG
RNAcentral lists this ribosomal RNA (253 nucleotides) under uncultured bacterium. RNAcentral's name for it is "partial 16S ribosomal RNA". It matches the Rfam family "Bacterial small subunit ribosomal RNA", at positions 524 to 776 of the family's 1533-position model. The record is from RNAcentral.